UCCAGAGUAGCUCAAUGGUAGAGCAGCCGGCUGUUAACCGGCGGGUUAGAGGUUCGAGCCCUCUCUCUGGAGCCA
Molecule: transfer RNA, 75 nt
Filed under: Verrucomicrobia bacterium ADurb.Bin006
Lineage: Bacteria; Pseudomonadati; Verrucomicrobiota
Also listed under: 7 other names
Description: tRNA-Asn
Rfam family: tRNA
About the family: Transfer RNA (tRNA) molecules are approximately 80 nucleotides in length.
Source: RNAcentral